GGGAAUGUGGCUUAGUGGUACAGUGCUUGCCUAGCAUGCAUGAAGCCCUGGGUUCGAUUCCCCAGUACCA
Molecule: transfer RNA, 70 nt
Filed under: Dipodomys ordii (Ord's kangaroo rat)
Lineage: Eukaryota; Metazoa; Chordata; Mammalia; Rodentia; Heteromyidae
Rfam family: tRNA
About the family: Transfer RNA (tRNA) molecules are approximately 80 nucleotides in length. Their secondary structure includes four short double-helical elements and three loops (D, anti-codon, and T loops).
Source: Rfam by way of RNAcentral